UCCCUUUUGGGGUCGCGGGGGGCGCUGGCGCCUAUCUCAGCUACAAUCGGGCGGAAGGCGGGGUACACUCUGGACAAGUCGCCACCUCAUCGCAGGGCCAACACAGAUAGACAGACAACAUUCACACUCACAUUCACACACUAGGGCCAAUUUAGUGUUGCCAAUCAACCUAUCCCCAGGUGCAUGUUUUUGGAAGUGGGAGGAAGCCGGAGUACCCGGAGGGAACCCACGCAUUCACGGGGAGAACAUGCAAACUCCACACAGAAAGAUCCCGAGCCUGGAUUUGAACCCAGGACUGCAGGACCUUCGUAUUGUGAGGCAGACGCACUAACCCCUCUGCCACCGUGAAGCCGUGUUGCCAAUCAAGCUGUCCCCAAUUAAAGUUUACUUACAUAUAUAGCACUUAAUCACAAAUGUCUCAAAAGGCUGCACAAGCCACAAUGACAUCCUCGGCUCAGAUCCCACAUCAGGGCAAGAAAAAUCUCAACCCAAUCGGAAACAUUAAUUUCCAUAUUAUGUUAUUGUAUUAAUUUGCGGUAAUAAACAAUUGUCAUAACCUUCUUCAUUAUCUCUAACGCUGACAACAUUGAAAUGAGUUUAUUUCAAACAUGCAUGCAUACAACAUGACACAUCACAAUUUCCAGUUUCUCUAUUCAACAUGUUCGAAAAGGAGUAGGAAGAAGCAGAGCAUAUUUAAUCCUAACCCUUUUCCUUUACAUAGCAGUUGCCAAAACUUCAGUUCACUUCCGGUUCUCAAUUUAUUCACAAUAUACUCCAUAAUUAAUAACAAUACAAAUAAAUAAAUAAUAAUUGGUGAAGUAAGUUAUAUUUUAUAUGGUGAGAUGAGUAAGAUUAUCUAGAAAAUGAAUGGAUGGAUGAGAUCAAUUCAGAAUGUUUAUCAUGGUUCUUCUUUGCACUAGCACAUUACACUACUACUAUGACACUACAUUAGCACUUGUGUCAUAGUUCUGGCCUUAAAAUUAUAUUUACAGGUAAAAUUCUCCCCAAAAUAGACACAGUAGUGAUUUUAGGCAUGUUUUAAUGAUUUUCAGCAUUAUCUAGAACAUCGACUUUUAGCUCCAAAAUGUGGGCGGCCCUGCAUCAGCCUGCUGAUGUCACUUACAGAAGACUGGAGGCAAUUUCAUAUUGUGGAGUAUGUGUUUUGGUAGCAUCUUCAUCCCCAAUCAUGUUCAUUUUACAAAGAAUUCGAAAGAUUGACCAAAAUGCCUGCCAUAUGCCUUGUUGUGAAGAGCAGGGAAGUCCGGAAAAGGCGACUUGUUUUAUAUUUAUUUUUCGCUUACAAUGUUAACAUAUCACUUUUGAAGUAAUCAUGGACUGAGGCAACAGAAACAUACAAUUAAGUGAUCAAAACAAUAGUUUUAUAUGACUCGAUGCACAUUGUCUCUGCGGGUGAAAUGGGCCCCAGUUCUUUAGGUCAGGGGUCCCUAACCUUUUUUCCACCACGGACCGGUUUAAUGUAGGCAUUUUUUUCAUGGACCGGCUUUACACAUGUGCCAGAUAAAUACAGCAAAAAUAAGUGCAUGAAAAAUAUAACUCACUAUAAUGCUGAAUUAGUGGGAGCUCUGAACUUCUUUCUUUGCAAUGAGAUCCCCAGCAGGUUGACGGUAGCCUGCUGGGGACUGUAUAUAGAAAUCAGCCUUUGGCUAUACUCUGUCACAUUUAUAUUUUAUAAGUUCAGUAAUGUGCUUUGUAUCAUGUCACAAAGUUAUAAUAAAUAUAACAAAUGGUAACUUUCUAUGAGGAGUUUUAUUGUACAUGUAUAAACAAGCUUAUUGGUGUGUCUAGUGCAGGGGUCGGCAACCCGCGACUCCUGAGCCGCAUGUGGCUCGUUGAUCACUCUGAUGCGGCUCAGUUUGUCGCGGCCUCAUCCUUGCGUUCUGCUUGUCAAACCUCGGGACACGCCGCUCGCCAAAGACAUGUGGGUGUCCAAGUUAAAGCGCCUGACAGCGGACCUUAAAGAUGUUUCACGCCAGAAGGUUGUUCUUGCUCACAAUCACAAAUGGGGUGAUAUUGAAAACCUCCCCAAACCAGACAAACUUGUGUUCGAAACUUGGAACCCCGGCCAUCCCCGAUUUUUAUGUGAACAUGAAAAAGUAUGCAGUUGGAGUCUUGUCGAUCUUUGGAUCCACAUAUGUAUGUGAGUGUAGUAGUUAUAAAAUUGCUGUAAAUGUGAACAUGCAGACAGUAAAUAGGAAGGAAGAAAAACAAAGCUUUAAUUCAUUAUAGAAAAACAAAGGUUUAAUUAAUGAUAGUGUCUGGUAAAAGUAAGAGAAAAAAAGGAGAAAAAACAUCAUAACUAAUUACUUUACAAAGUUGAAAAAAAGGGUAUGAAGACAAAAAGCUGUGAUAAGGUGAUCUGCCAUCUAUUACUUUUGACUGGUGCAGAGGAGUCCAAAAAGAGAAAUGAAAAAAUAGUAAUCUGUGUUAAAACCAUUCUAAUGUUUGUUUGGAAAAUACUUCCUGGAUUUAUGUUGUUUUUCUAUAACACCUGCGUUUUAAAAAUGUCUAGUUGUUGUUUUAGUCACUGAUCGGGUUCCGACUACUUUUGCCUGAUUUACCUGGUAGAGGGAGACACGUUCUUUCAUUCGGCCAUUACAGACUGGACCUGAAUGAAUAAGCAUCGUGUCCGUGUUUCUGUUCAAUAUCUCACUCCUCUACAGGUAAAGAAAUGUGGUUAUUCAACACUUUACAAUGUAUUUUUGCUCUCUGUCUGUAAGGUACUUACUUACCUACAUGUUUUAAACCGGCCUGCGUGUGAAUGACUGUGUGUAUGUGUGUGUGCGUGCAUGUGCGCGUGUGUGUUGAGAUUAGUUUGAUGCAGAGAUGUAUUUUUUUUAUGUUGCGUAGUCGUUUUUCAUGAGAGUAUAUUUUGAGAUGAAAGAUUUUGCUCUGCUAUUGUUAUUUUGUAGAGGAAAAUGUUAAAAAAAAAGGUCAAUGCUUUACCAGUUAUAUUUGGUGAUGAUGAUUAUGCAUUUCUAUUUGUGUUUUCACUAAAAGAGUGUCAGUUCUGAUCUGAUUAGCUAGAGAUACAAAUAUUAUAAAAAUAUUACAUAUUUUUACAGAUUAAAGUUCCAGCACAAUGCUUUAUUUUUCUACUUCUUUCAUGUUUUGAAUAGAGAAAUGUAAAAGUUUAAAAAAGGUGCAAUGUGUAAAAAGUAUUGUUUAAAAGUGUAUGUUUUUGGAAAAAUUGCCAUUACAGACUGGACCCGAAUGAAUAAGCAUCGUGUCCGUGUUUCUGUUCAAUAUCCCACUCCUCUACAGGGGUGUAACAUGAGCAGGUGUUCGCCAACAUGAACCUCAUUAAAAACAAACAUCGCACACGCCUCACAGAUGAGAGCUUACAAUCUUGUGUGAAGAUAAAGGUGACGUCAUACAGCCCUGAUGUGGAGACGCUGUGCGCUGCGGUUCAGGGGCAGAAAUCACAUUGACUAAGUUGACAGCUGACUGCAUGGCGCCAGUAAAAGGAUGACGGCACAGAGAGAGAGAACGGCAUUUUUGGUUCUCUGCCAGUGGAUAAUUUAAGUUCGGCGUUUUGUUUUUUCAUUACUACAGGGAGGACUUAGACAUUAAGUAUUUGUCAUGACGCGGAGUCGAACCCGCAUUUCCUCGGUGGCUGGAGCUGCGGGCGCUAAGACGUGCCUCUGCCGACAGCGUGCUCAGACACGAUCCCACUCGUGCUGAGCGCAGCACGCUCAUGUAGCAACGGGCCUGCACACAAUCAGUAAUCAACACACCUGGUCUUGAUGAAAGGGAACGGCAUAAAGAACAGCAGACGCGAGGAACCUUUGCCAGAACGUCGCUAACUCUUCAUGACUCCCCUGCCUUCCGUAAUCGAGCCUUGUCAUUUGACAUCUAUCCAGAUUCCUGACUGCCGUCCUCGAUCCACGACCUCCCUGCUCAGACCCGGACCCCACUGCCUUGCUCCUGUCCACGAACUGCCUCUUCGCCUUGCCCCUCGUGAUUCCACGAAAGAUUACAACCAACACUCACAGACAACAACCCUUGGUAACAUUUACAUUAUUAAUAUUACACAUAGUCACAUUCAUUCACUUGGAGUAGCAUACACACGCCACGUAUUCUUAAAAGUUUAAAAUAAACCUUGGAAAUCGU
Nerophis ophidion (straightnose pipefish) is the source of this 4131-nucleotide long non-coding RNA. RefSeq lists it as uncharacterized. The transcript has 3 exons. Lineage: Eukaryota; Metazoa; Chordata; Actinopteri; Syngnathiformes; Syngnathidae. The record is from RefSeq and is a predicted model, not a curated record.